This 240-nucleotide unclassified non-coding RNA is filed under the name soil metagenome. RNAcentral describes it as "partial contains 5.8S ribosomal RNA, internal transcribed spacer 2, and large subunit ribosomal RNA". The record is from RNAcentral.
AACGGUCUAUACCUGCGGUACCUGCGGAAGGAUCAUUACCGAGAGUUGGACUUCGGUCCGCACCCUCAACCCUUUGUAUACCUAGUAUGUUGCUUUGGCGGGCCGUCGGGCGCCCCUCCCCCUGUGGGGUCGGGACGUCCCGCCGCCGACCCAUGUGGUCGGCGCGUGUCCGCCGGAGGUUCCACGAACUCUAUGUUAACGUCAGUCGUUUGGGCCCAUGGGGCCUUAUGAUUUUUAAUC